GUGUUUCUUAGUGUUUUUUGAGUGGUUUGGUUAGGUUUUGGGUGGUUUUGGUCGGGUUGGUCUUGGUUUUGAGUGUUCUUGAGUGGGUUAGGGUUAGGUUAUAUAGAUAAAUGCGAAGAGUGCCUCCCCCCGAAGUGCCUCCCCCCCCUUAUCUCGGGUACCAUAAGUCCUAGAGUGCUGAAACUUGGUGGGUAUACUAAUUAGGGAGUGGGCUUUCGAAUGCACCCAGUGCCGUCUCUCUAGCGCCACCAGGCGCCGAGAUAUGGUACUGCUCCAUUACUUGAGUUUUGGUGUGCUAGGGCUAUGGUUGAGUUUCUUAGUUCCAGCCCUAGAGUCGAGUUUCUCUAUGUGGCUGGUUGUGACUUAGUCAAAUGGGUUGGACUUAGUGUUUUUUGAGUGGUUUGGUGUUGGUUUUUAGUGUUCUUGAGUGGUUUUGAGUGGUUUUUGAGUGUUUCUGAGUGUUCUUUGAGUGGUUAGGGUUAGGUUAGGUUAGGGUUAGGGUUAGGUUAGGGUUAGGGUUAGGGUUAGGUUAGGGUUAGAGUUAGGGUUAGGUUAGGGUUAGGGUUAGGGUUAGGGUUAGGGUUAGGGUUAGGGUUAGGGUUAGGGUUAGGGUUAGGGUUAGGGUUAGGGUUAGGGUUAGAGUUAGAGUUAGGGUUAGGGUUAGGGGUUAGGGUUAGGGUUAGGGUUAGGGUUAGGGUUAGAGGGUUAGGGUUAGGGUUAGGGUUAGGGUUAGGGUUAGGGUUAGGGUUAGGGUUAGGGUUAGGGUUAGGGUUAGGGUUCGGGUUAGGGUUAGGGUUAGGGUUAGGGUUAGGGUUAGGGUUAGUGUUAGGGUUAGGGUUAGGGUUAGGGUUAGGGUUAGGGUUAGGGUUAGGGUUAGGGUUAGGGUUAGGGUUAGGGUUAGGGUUAGGGUUAGGGUUAGGGUUAGGGUUAGGGUUAGGGUUAGGGUUAGGGUUAGG
This is a long non-coding RNA of Cyprinus carpio carpio, 956 nucleotides long. NCBI's taxonomy places the organism in Eukaryota, Metazoa, Chordata, Actinopteri, Cypriniformes, Cyprinidae. The record is from Ensembl.